GUGAGGGCCCUCUGGGUCCAACCUCCCACCCGUGUCUAUCGUACCUUGUUGCUUCGGCGGGCCCGCCGUUUCGACGGCCGCCGGGGAGGCCUUGCGCCCCCGGGCCCGCGCCCGCCGAAGACCCCAACAUGAACGCUGUUCUGAAAGUAUGCAGUCUGAGUUGAUUAUCGUAAUCAGUUAAAACUUUCAACAACGGAUCUCUUGGUUCCGGCAUCGAUGAAGAACGCAGCGAAAUGCGAUAAGUAAUGUGAAUUGCAGAAUUCAGUGAAUCAUCGAGUCUUUGAACGCACAUUGCGCCCCCUGGUAUUCCGGGGGGCAUGCCUGUCCGAGCGUCAUUGCUGCCCUCAAGCACGGCUUGUGUGUUGGGCCCCCGUCCCCCUCUCCCGGGGGACGGGCCCGAAAGGCAGCGGCGGCACCGCGUCCGGUCCUCGAGCGUAUGGGGCUUUGUCACCUGCUCUGUAGGCCCGGCCGGCGCCAGCCGACACCCAACUUUAUUUUUCUAAGGUUGACCUCGGAUCAGGUAGGGAUACCCGCUGAAUU
RNAcentral lists this ribosomal RNA (540 nucleotides) under Aspergillus fumigatus. Its description in RNAcentral is "eukaryotic LSU rRNA". The stretch from base 182 to 335 matches the Rfam family "5.8S ribosomal RNA". The record is from RNAcentral. Lineage: Eukaryota; Fungi; Ascomycota; Eurotiomycetes; Eurotiales; Aspergillaceae.